CCUACGGGGGGCAGCAGUGGGGAAUAUUGCACAAUGGGGGAAACCCUGAUGCAGCGACGCCGCGUGAGUGAAGAAGUAAUUCGUUAUGUAAAGCUCUAUCAGCAGGGAAGAAAAUGACGGUACCUGAGUAAGAAGCACCGGCUAACUACGUGCCAGCAGCCGCGGUAAUACGUAGGGGGCAAGCGUUAUCCGGAUUUACUGGGUGUAAAGGGAGCGUAGACGGCAGUGCAAGUCUGGAGUGAAAGGCGGGGGCUCAACCCCCGGACUGCUCUGGAAACUGUACGGCUGGAGUGCAGGAGAGGUAAGUGGGAUUCCUAGUGUAGCGGUGAGAUGCGUAGAUAUUAGGAGGAACACCAGUGGCGAAGGCGGGUUACUGGACUGUAACUGACGUUGAGGCUCGAAAGCGUGGGGAGCAAACGGGAUUAGAUACCCGGGUAGUC
This 440-nucleotide ribosomal RNA is filed under the name uncultured bacterium. Its description in RNAcentral is "partial 16S ribosomal RNA". It matches the Rfam family "Bacterial small subunit ribosomal RNA", at positions 338 to 795 of the family's 1533-position model. The record is from RNAcentral.